Molecule: long non-coding RNA, 585 nt
Organism: Selaginella moellendorffii
Lineage: Eukaryota; Viridiplantae; Streptophyta; Lycopodiopsida; Selaginellales; Selaginellaceae
Exons: 3
Source: RefSeq, a predicted model, not a curated record
ACCAAGCGGUGGAUUACUUCCAGCAGAUGACAUGCUCGGGCUGUGCUCCAGACUACGUUGCCUACAACACGCUCAUGAAUGGGCUGAGGAAGCAAGGGAGGCACAUCCAGGCGGACAGGCUCACACAGGCCAUGAAGGAGAAGGGGUUCUUGUCGGAUUGCUUCAAGGCGCCGCUCAGAGCCUAAGGUAGCUGUCAGCACCCUUUUGCAACUUCCGCGACAAGACGACUUCCAUUUCUUGCAUGCCUGUGAUCCAUCUUAUUGUCUUGAGUUAUCGAUCCAUCUUGGAGAAAAAAAAGGGGGAAAGGGGGUGACCUUCUUCUUCUCAAACGUUCGUUAGUUGACAAUGCAUGCUACAACUUCCACAAGAUCCAGCAUAGGAUCUGGGUGUCCUGCCUGCUUGAGACGCUCCAUUAUGUUACACUUGUUAGAGGCGUCCCGUUCUGUCCUGGAAGUAAAAACCACUGUUAGCAUCCGACCGUUGAUCGCGGAUUUGCUGUUGCAAAUACUCCCGGCACUUCUCCAGAGCUUCGCGCAUCCAGGCGUGACGAACUUUCUCAAUGGCGGUGGCAAUUGUGAACUGAAA